AGCUACUGUAGUAGCAGCAGUGAGCUGGGCAGAGCAGCAGAUGAGCCCAACAGACUGCGAGAGCAGAGCACGCAGCAACAAAGAAUGAAAUCCAGAAGGAAAAACUUGCUGUUUUUCUUAGAACCACAGAGUCCCAGCUAAUCCUCACCGACAAGACAGCAGCCGCAAGUAUACGGGCUAGCAAGCUGCAGCCAGGUCUCCAGCAUCCAUGACCGGAAUUCAUCAGAAGAGCAUGUGUUGAUUAAAACAACCGGCCUACAGUCAUACUUCAGUUCAUGUGCAGGAUGUAUUUCCUUCCACACAAAGACUAGAGAGAGGAAAAGAAAAAGAUCGAUUUUUACUUUCAUAAGCAUUUCUAGGGAAAAAAAAAAAAAAAAAAAAAUCCAAGGUGGCAAGUUCCUAUUACACAAAAUUAAGAAAAUUAAGCUUCCCAGACUGAGCUGUCCAAGCACUUCAGUUAGGUCGGAGGUUUACCAACUUACAAAUUAACUGCUCCCUCCAUGGAGGUAAGCAAAGGUUUAUGGAACUUAAUUUCAUGUGUUGAAAGUCUAAUGCUUACACACCCAGUGAUUUGGACAAUAAAACAAUGGAAUAAGCUAUUAGAGCAAUACACAUCUUAUCAAAUAAACGAAACUCUUCAACUACAUUAACUGACCAGACCGGCUCAAAAAAUUCCACUGUACCCUAUUUGCCACUGAUAAAUAUGUUAUGAUUAAGCUAAACUGUCAUAUCUCGAAUGUUUUUUCCAAAGAGAGGAUCAACAUUUUUUUAUGUCAACUUAAGCAAGAAAUAAAGCACCUCAAAGAAAUGGUAAGUCACUACUGAAGCACAAUGCUUAAAAAGCAUUUCCAAAAACAAUUUUU
Oxyura jamaicensis (ruddy duck) is the source of this 863-nucleotide long non-coding RNA. RefSeq lists it as uncharacterized. Lineage: Eukaryota; Metazoa; Chordata; Aves; Anseriformes; Anatidae. The record is from RefSeq and is a predicted model, not a curated record. The transcript has 3 exons.